Molecule: non-coding RNA, 792 nt
Organism: Phalacrocorax carbo (great cormorant)
Lineage: Eukaryota; Metazoa; Chordata; Aves; Suliformes; Phalacrocoracidae
Source: RefSeq, a predicted model, not a curated record
UGGAGCUCAUCAUAAGAGCAUAAUCAUUUUCUCUUCCUUUGGCAGUACGGGCACACGAGGGCCAGCCUGCUUUUGAGGAACAGCAUGAGGAUGUCGGUGUCGAUGCUCAGCAGUGGAAGGAAGCUUCUUUUGGAGGCCAAGAAGAUGAAGUGGAAAGUGGGCCCGGCAUUGAAGGUGACAGUUCCCAGCCAUCGGGGACGGACCGAGUAUGCGAGCAGGUGCCUGACGCGGCCACUGACCCGGGAGGCACGGAUCGGGAGGUGAGGGAGCCGUGUUGGCAUGGUAGGGGAAAGGAUGAGUCUGGAAUGUGGCUGUUGGUGGAGAUGCACGGCAGGGAGCCGGACACGGGAGGGAGGGGGCGAACAGAGCAUUGUGAGAAGGUAGGUCAGCACGUGACAACGGAGGGGUCGUGCAGUGCGAGCACCUAUGUGACUAGUUAACGAAGGGACUCACAAAACUACAUGCAAAGCGGGAUGUCUGCCCCGAGCUCGUCGGGCAAGGCGCCGUAGGUGGCGGCGGCCACGACAUCCAGCCUCAUUAGAGCGUGGGCGAGCGGAAGUUCACGGCGCUUCCGAGGAGGCUGUCGUUGCGGAAGUGGCCGGCGUUGAGUGGUGCGACGCUGAGUGAUGGCACCGCACGUUUGGAGAUGAAGAGUGUCCGUGUGACCGCAGCCCCAUCCUACGUAGCCUGUGUGGCCUUUUUAAAGGAUGGCUUUUGAGCCCCCGGAUUUGGAAGCGAAGCUGAGGGGCCGAUGCGGUCUUUGUGCAGGUGGCCGGUCGGUUGCGGGAAGCG